Molecule: ribosomal RNA, 274 nt
Filed under: uncultured bacterium
Lineage: Bacteria
Description: partial 16S ribosomal RNA
Rfam family: Bacterial small subunit ribosomal RNA
Source: RNAcentral
AUACGGAGGGUGCAAGCGUUACUCGGAAUCACUGGGCGUAAAGCGCGCGCAGGCGGGCUGAUAAGUUGGAUGUGAAAGCCUACGGCUCAACCGUAGAACUGCAUCCAAAACUGUCAGUCUAGAGUGUGGGAGAGGAAGAUGGAAUUAGUUGUGUAGGGGUAAAAUCCGUAGAGAUAACCAGGAAUACCAAAAGCGAAGGCAAUCUUCUGGAACACUACUGACGCUGAGGCGCGAAGGCGUGGGGAGCAAACAGGAUUAGAAACCCGAGUAGUCC